This 447-nucleotide ribosomal RNA is filed under the name uncultured bacterium. Its description in RNAcentral is "partial 16S ribosomal RNA". It matches the Rfam family "Bacterial small subunit ribosomal RNA", at positions 29 to 523 of the family's 1533-position model. The record is from RNAcentral.
AGUGAACGCUGGCGGCAGGCCUAACACAUGCAAGUCGAACGAACCGCAAGGUUAGUGGCGGACGGGUGAGUAACACGUGGGAAUCUACCUUUAGAUGGGGGCUAACUCAGGGAAACUUGAGCUAAUACCGCAUAAUGUCGAGAGACCAAAGAUUUAUCGUCUAAAGAUGAGCCCGCGUUAGAUUAGUUUGUUGGUGGGGUAAUGGCCUACCAAGACUACGAUCUAUAGCUGGUUUGAGAAGAUGACCAGCCACAUUGGGACUGAGACACGGCCCAAGCCCCUACGGGAGGCAGCAGUGGGUAAUAUUGGGCAAUGGGCGAAAGCCUGACCCAGCCAUGUCGCGUGAGUGAUGAAGGCCUUAGGGUUGUAAAGCUCUUUCAGGGGGGAAGAUAAUGACGGUACCCCCAGAAGAAGCUCCGGCUAACUUCGUGCCAGCCGCCGCCGUAA